Molecule: ribosomal RNA, 497 nt
Filed under: uncultured bacterium
Lineage: Bacteria
Description: partial 16S ribosomal RNA
Rfam family: Bacterial small subunit ribosomal RNA
Source: RNAcentral
GACGAACGCUGGCGGCGUGCCUAAUACAUGCAAGUUGAGCGCUGAAGGUUGGUACUUGUACCAACUGGAUGAGCAGCGAACGGGUGAGUAACGCGUGGGGAAUCUGCCUUUGAGCGGGGGGCAACAUUUGGAAACGAAUGCUAAUACCGCAUAAAAACUUUAAACACAAGUUUUAAGUUUGAAAGAUGCAAUUGCAUCACCCAAAGAUGAUCCCGCGUUGUAUUAGCUAGUUGGUGAGGUAAAGGCUCACCAAGGCGAUGAUACAUAGCCGACCUGAGAGGGUGAUCGGCCACAUUGGGACUGAGACACGGCCCAAACUCCUACGGGAGGCAGCAGUAGGGAAUCUUCGGCAAUGGACGAAAGUCUGACCGAGCAACGCCGCGUGAGUGAAGAAGGUUUUCGGAUCGUAAAACUCUGUUGGUAGAGAAGAACGUUGGUGAGAGUGGAAAGCUCAUCAAGUGACGGUAACUACCCAGAAAGGGACGGCUAACUACGUG